This 233-nucleotide unclassified non-coding RNA is filed under the name uncultured fungus. Its description in RNAcentral is "sequence contains ITS2". Lineage: Eukaryota; Fungi. The record is from RNAcentral.
AACGCACAUUGCGCCUUUUGGUAUUCCGAAAGGCAUACUUGUUCGAGCGCCGUUUCAUACUUCAAGCUUCAGCUUGGUGUUGACUGUAAUCUGUUUGGAUUCGGUCGAAACUCAUUGGCGUCGUCCUUGAAAGUCCCAACGUGACAGAAAUCUCUCGUUGUCUGCUGUCAAGAAGACCGCCGGUUUUUGAAACUGAUGGCCUCGGAUCAAGUAGGGUUACCCGCUGAACUUAA